AGUGAACGCUGGCGGUAGGCCUAACACAUGCAAGUCGAACGGCAGCACAGUAAGAGCUUGCUCUUACGGGUGGCGAGUGGCGGACGGGUGAGGAAUACAUCGGAAUCUACUUUUUCGUGGGGGAUAACGUAGGGAAACUUACGCUAAUACCGCAUACGACCUACGGGUGAAAGCAGGGGAUCUUCGGACCUUGCGCGAUUGAAUGAGCCGAUGUCGGAUUAGCUAAUUGGCGGGGUAAAGGCCCACCAAGGCGACGAUCCGUAGCUGGUCUGAGAGGAUGAUCAGCCACACUGGAACUGAGACACGGUCCAGACUCCUACGGGAGGCAGCAGUGGGGAAUAUUGGACAAUGGGCGCAAGCCUGAUCCAGCCAUACCGCGUGGGUGAAGAAGGCCUUCGGGUUGUAAAGCCCUUUUGUUGGGAAAGAAAAGCAGCAGGUUAAUACCCCGCUGUUCUGACGGUACCCAAAGAAUAAGCACCGGCUAACUUCGU
Molecule: ribosomal RNA, 491 nt
Filed under: uncultured bacterium
Lineage: Bacteria
Description: partial 16S ribosomal RNA
Rfam family: Bacterial small subunit ribosomal RNA
Source: RNAcentral